GACGAACGCUGGCGGUGUGCUUAACACAUGCAAGUCGAACGGUAAGGCCCUUUCGGGGGUACACGAGUGGCGAACGGGUGAGUAACACGUGAGUAACCUGCCCUCAUCUCUGGGAUAACAGUCGGAAACGGUUGCUAAUACUGGAUAUGAGCUUGCAAGGCAUCUUGUGGGUUGGAAAGAUUUUUUUGGUUGGGGAUGGACUCGCGGCCUAUCAGCUUGUUGGUGAGGUAGUGGCUCACCAAGGCUUCGACGGGUAGCCGGCCUGAGAGGGCGACCGGCCACAUUGGGACUGAGAUACGGCCCAAACUCCUACGGGAGGCAGCAGUGGGGUAUAUUGCACAAUGGACGGAAGUCUGAUGCAGCAACGCCGCGUGCGGGAUGACGGCCUUCGGGUUGUAAACCGCUUUCAAUUGUGACGAAGCUUUUUGUGACGGUAGCAGUAGAAGAAGCACCGGCUAACUACGUG
This 466-nucleotide ribosomal RNA is filed under the name uncultured bacterium. RNAcentral describes it as "partial 16S ribosomal RNA". It matches the Rfam family "Bacterial small subunit ribosomal RNA", at positions 28 to 507 of the family's 1533-position model. The record is from RNAcentral.